RNAcentral lists this ribosomal RNA (253 nucleotides) under uncultured prokaryote. RNAcentral describes it as "partial 16S ribosomal RNA". It matches the Rfam family "Bacterial small subunit ribosomal RNA", at positions 525 to 777 of the family's 1533-position model. The record is from RNAcentral.
ACAGAGGGGGCAAGCGUUGUUCGGAAUUACUGGGCGUAAAGGGCGCGUAGGCGGCCUUCUAAGUCGAACGUGAAAUCCCCGGGCUCAACCCGGGAACUGCGUCCGAUACUGGAAGGCUUGAAUCCGGGAGAGGGAUGCGGAAUUCCAGGUGUAGCGGUGAAAUGCGUAGAUAUCUGGAGGAACACCGGUGGCGAAGGCGGCAUCCUGGACCAACACUGACACUGAGGAGCGAAAGCUAGGGGAGCAAACAGGA